AACGCGAAGAACCUUACCUGGGUUUGACAUCCCUGGACAGCCGUAGAGAUACGGUUUCCCCUUCGGGGGCCAGGAGACAGGUGCUGCAUGGCUGUCGUCAGCUCGUAUCGUGAGAUGUCGGGUUAAGUCCCUUAACGAGCGCAACCCUUAUCCCUAGUUGCCACCAUUCAGUUGGGCACUCUAAGGAGACUGCCGGUGUUAAGCCGGAGGAAGGUGGGGAUGACGUCAAGUCCUCAUGGCCUUUAUAUCCAGGGCAACACACGUGCUACAAUGGCCGGUACAGAGGGUCGCCAACCCGCGAGGGGGAGCUAAUCUCAGAAAGCCGGUCUCAGUUCGGAUUGAAGUCUGCAACUCGACUUCAUGAAGCUGGAAUCGCUAGUAAUCGCAGAUCAGAACGCUGCGGUGAAUACGUUCCCGGGCCUUGUACACACCGGUAUCUC
RNAcentral lists this ribosomal RNA (440 nucleotides) under uncultured bacterium. RNAcentral's name for it is "bacterial SSU rRNA". It matches the Rfam family "Bacterial small subunit ribosomal RNA", at positions 958 to 1400 of the family's 1533-position model. The record is from RNAcentral.